GCCAGGCACGGUGGCCCGUGCCUGUAGUCCCAGCUACUAGGGAGGCUGAGGUAGGAGGAUCGCUUGAGCCCAGGAGUUCUGGGCUGUAGUGCACUAAGCCGAUCGGUUUUCUGCACUAAAUUCGGCAUCAAUACAGUGACCUCCCGGGAGCCGGGGACCACCAGGUUGCCUAAGGAGUGGUGAACCGGCCCAGGUUGGAAACGGGGCAGGUCAAAACUCGCAUGCUGAUCAGUAGUGGGAUAGUGCCUGUGAAUAGCUACUGCACUCCAGCCUGGGCAACAUAGCGAGACCCUAUCUCU
This 299-nucleotide signal recognition particle RNA is filed under the name Cebus imitator (Panamanian white-faced capuchin). RNAcentral's name for it is "Metazoan signal recognition particle RNA (ENSCCAG00000011383.1)". It matches the Rfam family "Metazoan signal recognition particle RNA". From Rfam's summary of the family: The signal recognition particle (SRP) is a universally conserved ribonucleoprotein. It is involved in the co-translational targeting of proteins to membranes. Lineage: Eukaryota; Metazoa; Chordata; Mammalia; Primates; Cebidae. The record is from RNAcentral.